CUCGCAAUGGCGGCCCGCCUAUACUGCAGUCGAGCGGGGUUACUUAGAAGCUUGCUUCUAAUUAACCUAGCGGCGGACGGGUGAGUAACACGUAGGCAACCUGCCCACAAGACAGGGAUAACUACCGGAAACGGUAGCUAAUACCCGAUACAUCCUUUUCCUGCAUGGGAGAAGGAGGAAAGGCGGAGCAAUCUGUCACUUGUGGAUGGGCCUGCGGCGCAUUAGCUAGUUGGUGGGGUAAUGGCCUACCAAGGCGACGAUGCGUAGCCGACCUGAGAGGGUGAUCGGCCACACUGGGACUGAGACACGGCCCAGACUCCUACGGGAGGCAGCAGUAGGGAAUCUUCCGCAAUGGGCGAAAGCCUGACGGAGCAACGCCGCGUGAGUGAUGAAGGUUUUCGGAUCGUAAAGCUCUGUUGCCAGGGAAGAACGUCUUGUACAGUAACUGCUAUAAGAGUGACGGUACCUGAGAACAAAGCCCCGGCUAACUACGUGCCAGCAGCCGCGGUAAUACGUACGGGGCACCCGUUCUCCGGAAUUAUUGCGCCUAAAGCGCGCGCACGCCGCUCUUUAAGUCUGGUGUUUAAUCCCGACGCCUCAACUUCGCGUCGCACUGGAAACCGGGGGAGCCUUGACCGCACG
This 642-nucleotide ribosomal RNA is filed under the name Paenibacillus polymyxa. RNAcentral describes it as "bacterial SSU rRNA". It matches the Rfam family "Bacterial small subunit ribosomal RNA", at positions 23 to 653 of the family's 1533-position model. The record is from RNAcentral. Lineage: Bacteria; Bacillati; Bacillota; Bacilli; Caryophanales; Paenibacillaceae.